UACGGAGGGUGCGAGCGUUAAUCGGAAUUACUGGGCGUAAAGAGCGCGUAGGCGGCUUGAUAAGCCGGUUGUGAAAGCCCCGGGCUCAACCUGGGAACGGCAUCCGUAACUGUCAGGCUAGAGUGCAGGGGAGGAAGGUAGAAUUCCAGGUGUAGCGUUGAAAUGCGUAGAGAUCGGGAGGAAUACCAGUGGCGAAGGCGGCCUGCUGGGCUGACACUGACGCUGAGGGGCGAAAGCGUGGGUAGCAAACAGG
This 253-nucleotide unclassified non-coding RNA is filed under the name uncultured Halomonadaceae bacterium. Its description in RNAcentral is "contains 16S-23S intergenic spacer region". It matches the Rfam family "Bacterial small subunit ribosomal RNA", at positions 524 to 776 of the family's 1533-position model. Lineage: Bacteria; Pseudomonadati; Pseudomonadota; Gammaproteobacteria; Oceanospirillales; Halomonadaceae. The record is from RNAcentral.